Long non-coding RNA from Ailuropoda melanoleuca (giant panda), 4690 nucleotides. RefSeq lists it as uncharacterized. The record is from RefSeq and is a predicted model, not a curated record. The transcript has 7 exons. Lineage: Eukaryota; Metazoa; Chordata; Mammalia; Carnivora; Ursidae.
CGCAGACGGCGGAGAGCUGAGAUGGAGCGCGCCUUGGCCCGCUGGCCUCGGCUGCAGCUCCUCGGGAGAACCCGGGCGCCCACGCGAGAAUCUCCCCACCUGAGGACACUAGGAGCUCCGACCCCUGGAUGACACCAGUAUACAAAGCAGCCACUGGCAGAGACCCCCCGGACGAGGAUGACAGAAGAUGAAGAGGACCAGAACUGACCAGCCAUCUCUCCCUCUUGGCUGAAUGUUGAAACCAAUGCCCUAGUGAGGGGGCAUUGGUCAUUAACCCCUGACCUUUGCUAUGCUUAUGCCUUGAUGCUAUGAAUACUUUCCUAUAAGUCUCUGCUUGUGUUCAUGUGCCAGCGACCUGGAGUGUUUCCCUCCCCAGGGAGUUGUCAGUCUUUCUCCGACGACAACCCUGUUGUUGCCUGUAUGAUGUCCUGAAUGAAAGGAUCCCUUUGGGAACUUCUCUGGAGGGGGACCUGGGCCAAGGGCUUGACCAGCAUCUCACUGGCAAUUCCAAGGCCCAACAUGGGCUUCUGGAAUGAGCAUGAGCCCUGACGCCAUGCUACGGAACUGCCAAGGGCAUCCCCACCUCUUCUCAGAUCUCCCUGUUCUUUCUGGGGAACGGGGCCAAGAAGAGCAGCCUCCCAGGGUUGUUGUGAGUAUUGAAUGAGAUCAAACCACCUCAGGCAGGGCUGGGCAUAGAGGAGGCGGUCAGCAAAUGUCUGUUGAAACGUUUGGUAGGUCAGCCCCUUCCCACCCCUGUCACCCUCGUCUCAUGCUUCUUGUUUAUUCUCCCACAGCGCUCCAGGCAGCCCCCUGUCCACGGGGCUCUCUUGAAGCAGCCAAGCUUCUCGAAAGGCCUGUCUACACUUGCUGUCUUCCUUCCUCACCUCCAAUUUCCUCUUCAACCCACUGCCUCCUGACUUGUUCUGCUCCGUCGAACGACCCUAACUCAGGUCAGCCCUGUCCUCGGCAUGCUGGCUGUGACCUGGCUGGGUCGGCCCAAGAACCAGAGAGAAGAGGCCGAGGCAGCCCCUGGAGGACCGCCGCCCUGCCCCACUGAGCCCGCCCUGCUGUUGGACGCCUGGUGCCUCAUGUCCAGCCCUGCGUUUCUCCACUUCCUCCUGGUUUGGGUUGAAGACGCCAUCUGGAAUCCUCCAUGGAAGGAGACAGCGUGACACAUGACCCAGCACCCUCCAGCAUUCAAAUCGGCAGACUAGGAUGGAAGUGCCCUUGUGAGCUGGGGGGCCCUUCAAAGGGCCAAGGAAAAAACGCGGGCCGAGGGACCAGCCUCUCAAACGGGCUUCGAGCUCCAAUGACCUUCGCUCACCCCCUUGAAAUGUCUGGAAAACAGAAUGGGCAGAUUUUCUGUCUUCAAAGUUUCCGGCUAAACCUCUUCAAGUUCUUUAUUGUUUGGGACUGAGACACUCAGCAAUGUUUCUCCUGCUAGACUGUGAGCCCCUUAAGGGUAAGGAGCUUGCCAAAUGGAUCUUUGUACCCCCAGUGCCCGCCAUGUUGUGGGUGCUGCGUGGGUGGUGUGCUGGGUGAGACGGUGGAAGGAUGGGUGAAUGCGUGGGCGCUGAGUGUAUGAUUGGCUUUCCUAGGGUCGAGCUUCUUGAGUGAAAGGCCAGGGAGUUUGCAUGGAUGUUGAUUAAUUUCCAAGGGCUUAUAGCAUUUUACAAUGUCCAGUGAUGUAUUAGAAUUUUGUUAAGAUAUUCCUAGUUUAUCUCUGUUAAACAGUGUUUUUCUGUCAUUUUAACUUGCAUUGCUUUGAUUACUAAUGAAGGUUGAGCAUUUUCACAUAUACUUGUUAACCAAUUGUAUUUUCUCUUCUGUGAACUGUUUGUCCAAGUCCAUUGGGUCAUGGCUUUCUGGUGAGACUGUUCAAGGAUGGAAUGGGUGUCCUUGGGAUGUAGUGAGCCCUCCGUCACUGGAGGCAUUCAAGGGACAGGCCGGGCAGAGCUUUGAUGAGGGUAGUUUAAAGGAGAUUCACAUAGCAGGCGUGGGGUUGGUCUAGAUGGUCUUGCAGGUCUAUUUGACUAGGAUUUGCUUCUCCCUGGAAAUGGGGGGUGGGGGCCUCUUCCACUUGGCAGCCUGGCAACAUUUAAGAUCACAUUUAAGAACCCUGGCUGGGUUCAUACAUAUAUGAUUUAUAAACUCUACACCAUACCCUCUGGAACUCUUGUGGGACAGGAAUAAUCUCUUUGACCCUCCGAGGCCCAGAUAACCAUGCCUAGCAUCUCGUGCAGUUAGCUGGUAACUUCCCGCCAGCCCUGACACCCAGCCUUGUUUUCCUUUGAGGAAGCCAGCCCCCUGGACCAUCAUUUUCCACCUCUUAGGGAAUCAGGAGAGACCAUCUGUCCUUUGCAUUCCCAGUGUCCUGUGAUGUGUGAGCAAAUGUCCCCGAGGCCUUAGAUGGAUGGCACAUGUUAGAUCAGGACUGGUGAAGAAUCCUUUGUGUUUUCUUCAGUGGGGCAAUUAAAUUCCAUGACCCAAGGAACAGAAUGGACCCCCUGGUCUUCUUGGGUUUCCCCUUGUGCCCCACCACAAACUGACCUCAGCUCAAAGUCCAUCGAGACCAUUUGGGGAGGGUGUGUCACCCACGGGGGGCUUGCCCUACUUCCAGAACACCCCUGCCCUCAGCAGAGAGCUGCUUCCUCCCGCCAAACCCUCUACUAUAGCACUGAGCGCGUUUGCCUGCGGCAGAAUUAGUCAUGCACAUGUCUGUCCCAGCAUCGAGGCUUGGAGGCCAGCAAUGACUUCCAGCAUUAAUUUAAUCCAUCCAUUCAUUCAUCUGUGCGUUUGGCCUCCAUUUCUUGACCUGGUGCUUUGGCCUCUCCCUUCCCUGAAAGCAAGCCUUUUCAUUUUGGGCGGGCUGUGUAGCGCCAUGGGCUGUGGUCAUGAAGCGAACGCCCUUACUAGAGCUUUCUCCUUCGGGGUCACUGCUCUGAGCACGUCCCAGCUGGACUCAUCUGCCACUGUCACCCACACGGCUUCUGUCCCCAUGGCGCUUUCCCAGGCAUCACCCUCGGCGGCGGAUCCAGGGCCAGGGUCCGAGAGCCCCCCCGCCCCCCGCUGUGCGCGGAGGUGUCCUCCCCCAGGCCUCCCUGCCUGGUGCAUGGUCCCUGCCCUGAGCUUUGCCUUCAGCCUUUCUGCUUCCUCCACCAGAUGGCAGUGGUUGUAAUUCACCCCUUCAUUCCUUCAUCCCUUCAUUCCUUCACAAUCGACACACGUUUUUCCGAAUUUAGCUAGUGCUAUACUAGAGAUGGCUCCCAACGACUCAUCCCGAUUAUCUCUUUUUGGAAGAGAAGACGGGCCUGUCUGCAAGGGGCCAUGUUUGUGUGCCAGCAAAAGGCGCCACCCUUGGUUCAGCCCCAACUUCCAGAUCGGAGUUCCGUUGGAAGUUUGAUUGCCCUCCCCGACUUUGUUCCUUACAAAACUAGGUUGAUUGGUAAUCAGCAAACUGCAUCCCUGGGUGUUCAGAAAUCAUAACCUGUGUCAAGAGGCCAGAGUGACGGCUAUGGGGUCUGAGAUGAACGGCUGCUUCCGGCCGUGAGCUGGCUUUUAAGUCAUUAGGACACCCUGAUCUUGCCCGCUGGUGAUCUUAGAGCUGUUCCUGUCCCUUUCGAAAUUAGUUAAUGCUGAGCUCUAUUUAAAGAAAAUUGGGGGAGAUGAUUGCUCCCUGAGGUGACAAGGAUCAUGCCCUGUGUGGGGGUCUGUACCAACUCAUCCGUUGACAGACCUGGGCAUCCAAGACACAUGGUACUUUGCAAACCCUGGACGUGGCCCCGAGCAUUCAUGCGGGUCCCAGGCCAGGCAGGACCCCCUCCCCACCUUUAGUUCACUGCUGCCUGUGUGGGACAAGGCAGAGGUCUUGGGGUCUCUGCUUAGAAUUCUGCAGUUUAUUCAUUGCAUUAGAGAGAGGGCGUAGUGGGCAAAGCCAGGACCCUGGAGCUGGACAAACGUGUGUGGUUUAAACUGACCGUGACAGCUUGAGUCUGUCUUCUGGGGGGACAAUGGCACCCACCUCGCAGGGCUGUUGUGAGGAUUGCUGUAACCAGGGCUUUGAACUGGGAUUCUGACCAGGCGGUGCGCGUGCCCCCGGGGGGCUGCUGGGGGUGGGAUGACAGGCCUGGAGGGGCAGCCUGACUCAGCAGGUUAGCGGGAAAUUGCUUUGCCAGACACGCAGGGGACAUCGUGGGAUAGGGUGCUAAAUUGGUAUGACAUUGUAGGGUUAGAUGGGAGUAAUUUUGGCAGGGAUCUUUAUGCCGGGGGAAUGGGGGCCUCUUUGGGCAACACCCUUGCCCCCCCGGGGUACGCGUUCACGCUCACCUCUGUAAAAGGUUGGAAGAACCCUCUGGGUCCUGCCUACCGCUGGGUCUUGCCUGUGGGCGGCACUCACACACAUUCCUCCCUCCGCAAGAGAUCUCUCCUGGCAGUGUCCUCCCCCCGACAUACUAGGCACCGGCCAUCAAAGACACCGCAACGUCCCCUCUCUCAAUUAACAACAUUUGGGCUCAAAUGCCAGCAGCCUGGGUGCCUAACACAGAACCAAGCCAGUGGUAGGGGCUGCCUUCCAUUUUUGUUGAAUGGCCAAAUAAUGAGUUGUAACCACAUGCAAGUGGCAGAUGUUAAAACCCUUACUAAGAGUUUGUAUUUUGCUCCUGAUUAACCUGUUAACAAUCGUUGUAUCUUA